GCUUUCGUGGUGUAAUGGCCAGCACACUUGGCGCGUAUCUAAAGAUCCGAGGUUCGAGUCCCGGCGAGGGCA
RNAcentral lists this transfer RNA (72 nucleotides) under Stegodyphus mimosarum. It matches the Rfam family "tRNA". From Rfam's summary of the family: Transfer RNA (tRNA) molecules are approximately 80 nucleotides in length. Their secondary structure includes four short double-helical elements and three loops (D, anti-codon, and T loops). Lineage: Eukaryota; Metazoa; Arthropoda; Arachnida; Araneae; Eresidae. The record is from Rfam by way of RNAcentral.